This 671-nucleotide long non-coding RNA is filed under the name Trifolium pratense (red clover). RNAcentral describes it as "long non-coding RNA (TPRA_LNC004844)". The record is from RNAcentral. Lineage: Eukaryota; Viridiplantae; Streptophyta; Magnoliopsida; Fabales; Fabaceae.
AAAAUUGUGUUUCAAGUUUGGGAGCUUUUACACAAAAACUGGUGCAUGUAUUUUGGACGGAACAUACUCCUUUUGUUACUUAACUCUCAUACCAUAUAUUUGACCUACUAUUUGAUGAAACAUGUUGCAUUUUGUUACUUUACUUUCUCAACUUUCAUACCAUAUAUUUGACACACUUCUUUUAUUGCAGGUGCACCUAUAGUAGGUAUGCUUUUUGAGAAGAUAGAAUAAGACAUUGAUGCACAUGAUAAGAACGUUGAGGGAUAAGGAGAAGAAAAAGGAAUAGAAUGGUAAAACUGAUGCAUAAUAUAGGGAGGAUCGUGUAAUGUACAUAUAUGCUAUCAUACAUUUAAAACCACACAUUCAAUUUGUUGACUCUAUAUUUGAAGAGAUUAUUAUGCAAUGACUUAAAUUUUGAAUUUGGAGUUAGACAAAAGUUAUGUAUUUUAGGGCUUUACGAAAAUUAUGAUUUAAUUUUUUUCUUAUUAUGUAUUCUAUCCUUGGGCAAGUGAAUUAUGUAACCUUAGUUGUAGUAAUAACUUCAUUCUAUUUCUUAACAAGUACAUUGAAGAAUAUUUGAAGAAGUACAUUUCCAUUUCUAUUAUCUAAGAAGUAAUGCUUAAUUUCUGCACAAAAUAUUUGAGAAUUACUGCCUCUCAUACCACAUUCUC